ACAAAACCCUAAUUUUGUUCAUCGCCGACAAGCAAAUCUACCAACAUCUCUUUCGAUUUCAUUAGCAUCUGAUUUUAGGUUUAAUGGCUGAAAAUGCCGAGAGAAACAGAUUCCGGCGAAAGCUAGGGGUUCCGGCGAAGUUAGUAGUGAUCUGGAGUCGUCGUCCCAAUUUCGCUUAAGGAAACGACUUCGUUCUUCUACAAGGAUUGGAUUAUAAGCUACGACAAAAGCAACCACCAUUCAGUACGCAGGCCUAGGUAUUGGUGACAAAGGAUGAUGAACUGAAUCCAUGUCAAGGAAAAAUUCGUCUGCCUCUAAAUGGUUACAAGAAAAAGACUACUGAUUGGCUGGAUCAACAUACCUCUGACACUAACCUACCAAGGAAAUAGAAGAUGAUUAUCGCAACCUCAUCUUUACUCUGAUUAGGUGUAAGCUCUGCAAUAAACGAUUGCAAGAAGGAUACUCAAUCAGUAAGUGGAGAACACACGAAACACCAACCCUAGAAUGUUGACUCGACAUAAAUGAUAUUUAUCAUGGUUCAGUCUGGUGUUUCUUAUUCCUUCUAUCAUAAUCGC
This 575-nucleotide long non-coding RNA is filed under the name Helianthus annuus (common sunflower). RNAcentral's name for it is "sRNA HanXRQr2_Chr02g0081591". The record is from RNAcentral. Lineage: Eukaryota; Viridiplantae; Streptophyta; Magnoliopsida; Asterales; Asteraceae.